This 888-nucleotide ribosomal RNA is filed under the name uncultured archaeon. Its description in RNAcentral is "bacterial SSU rRNA". It matches the Rfam family "Archaeal small subunit ribosomal RNA", at positions 20 to 914 of the family's 1478-position model. The record is from RNAcentral.
CACCUGACUGCUAUCGGAUUGGUACUAAGCCAUGUGAGUCAUUGUAGCAAUACAAGGCAAACGGCUCGGUAACACGUAGUCAAUCUGCCCUAUGGACGUGGAUAACCUCGGGAAACUGAGAAUAAUCCGCGAUAGAUCAUAAUGCCUGGAACGGUUUAUGGUCCAAAUGAUUCGUCGCCAUAGGAUGGGACUGCGGCCUAUCAGCUUGUUGGUGAGGUAAUGGCCCACCAAGGCUAUUACAGGUACGGGCUCUGAGAGGAGAAGCCCGGAGAUGGGUACUGAGACACGGACCCAGGCCCUAUGGGGCGCAGCAGGCGAGAAACCUUUGCAAUGUGCGCAAGCACGACAAGGUUAAUCCGAGUGUUUCCUGCUAAAGGAAUCUUUUGUUAGUUCUAAAACCACUGAUGAAUAAGGGGUGGGCAAGUUCUGGUGUCAGCCGCCGCGGUAAAACCAGCACCUCAAGUGGUCAGGAGGAUUAUUGGGCCUAAAGCAUCCGUAGCCGGUUCUGUAAGUUUCCGGUUAAAUCCACUAGCUCAACUAAUGGGCUGCCGGAAAUACUGCAGAACUAGGGAGUGGGAGAGGUAGACGGUACUCGGGAGGAAGGGGUAAAAUCCUUUGAUCUCUUGAUGACCACCUGUGGCGAAGGCGGUCUACCAGAACACGUUCGACGGUGAGGGAUGAAAGCUGGGGGAGCAAACCGGAUUAGAUACCCGGGUAGUCCCAGCUGUAAACGAUGCAGACUCGGUGAUGCACUGGCUUUUGGCCAGUGCAGUGCCGCAGGGAAGCCGUUAAGUUUGCCGCCUGGGAAGUACGUACGCAAGUAUGAAACUUAAAGGAAUUGGCGGGGGAGCACCACAAGGGGUGAAGCCUGCGGUUCAAUUGGAUUCA